Molecule: unclassified non-coding RNA, 159 nt
Filed under: uncultured fungus
Lineage: Eukaryota; Fungi
Description: sequence contains ITS1
Source: RNAcentral
UUGUUUUCGUUACGACAAUUUACAUUCAUCACGCUAAAGUUCUUGGUGCUUUGCGCCGGGGGCCCGAGAGCCCCUAGACGUACAGUUCACGGUGUGUGUGGAAUAGACACGGCCAGAGGCCAAUCUCUAAUGAUCCUUCCGCAGGUUCACCUACGGAAA